UGGGGAAUAUUGCACAAUGGGCGCAAGCCUGAUGCAGCCAUGCCGCGUGUGUGAAGAAGGCCUUCGGGUUGUAAAGCACUUUCAGCGGGGAGGAAGGCGAUAAGGUUAAUAACCUUGUCGAUUGACGUUACCCGCAGAAGAAGCACCGGCUAACUCCGUGCCAGCAGCCGCGGUAAUACGGAGGGUGCAAGCGUUAAUCGGAAUUACUGGGCGUAAAGCGCACGCAGGCGGUCUGUCAAGUCGGAUGUGCAAUCCCCGGGCUCAACCUGGGAACUGCAUCUGAUACUGGCAAGCUUGAGUCUAGUAGAGGGGGGUAGAAUUCCAGGUGUAGCGGUGAAAUGCGUAGAGAUCUGGAGGAAUACCGGUGGCGAAGGAGGCCCCCUGGACGAAGACUGACGCUCAGGUGCGAAAGCGUGGGGAGCAAACAGG
RNAcentral lists this ribosomal RNA (429 nucleotides) under Chloroflexota bacterium. RNAcentral's name for it is "Chloroflexi bacterium partial 16S ribosomal RNA". It matches the Rfam family "Bacterial small subunit ribosomal RNA", at positions 355 to 776 of the family's 1533-position model. The record is from RNAcentral. Lineage: Bacteria; Bacillati; Chloroflexota.